AUUGAACGCUGGCGGCAUGCUUUACACAUGCAAGUCGAACGGUAACAGGCCUUCGGGUGCUGACGAGUGGCGAACGGGUGAGUAAUGCAUCGGAACGUACCCAGAGGUGGGGGAUAACGCAGCGAAAGCUGUGCUAAUACCGCAUGUGAUCUGAGGAUGAAAGCGGGGGACCGAGCAGCAAUGUUUGGCCUCGCGCCUUUGGAGCGGCCGAUGUCGGAUUAGCUAGUUGGUGGGGUAAAGGCCUACCAAGGCGACGAUCCGUAGCUGGUCUGAGAGGACGACCAGCCACACUGGGAUUGAGACACGGCCCAGACUCCUACGGGCGGCAGCAGUGGGGAAUUUUGGACAAUGGGCGCAAGCCUGAUCCAGCAAUGCCGCGUGCGGGAAGAAGGCCUUCGGGUUGUAAACCGCUUUUGGCAGGAACGAAACGGUGUCCGCUAAUACCGGGCGCUAAUGACGGUACCUGCAGAAUAAGCACCGGCUAACUACGUG
Molecule: ribosomal RNA, 492 nt
Filed under: uncultured bacterium
Lineage: Bacteria
Description: partial 16S ribosomal RNA
Rfam family: Bacterial small subunit ribosomal RNA
Source: RNAcentral